Molecule: ribosomal RNA, 484 nt
Filed under: uncultured bacterium
Lineage: Bacteria
Description: partial 16S ribosomal RNA
Rfam family: Bacterial small subunit ribosomal RNA
Source: RNAcentral
AUUGAACGCUGGCGGCAGGCCUAACACAUGCAAGUCGAGCGGAUGAAGGGGGCUUUCUCCUGGCUUCCGCGGGGGACGGGUGAGUAAUGCAUAGGAAUCUGCCUGGUCUUUGGGAAUAAGGUCCGGACAGGGGCGCUAAUACCGCAUCCGUUCUGAGGGAGAACGGGGGGGAUCUUCGGACAUAACCCUUCCUGCUGACCCUAGGUCGGAUUAGCUAGUUGGUUGGGUAAGGGCCUACCAAGGCGACGAUCCGUAACUGCUCUGAGAGGCUGAUCAGUCACACUGGAACUGAGACACGGUCCAGACUCCUACGGGAGGCAGCAGUGGGGAAUAUUGCACAAUGGGCGAAAGCCUGAUCCAGCCACGCCGCGUGUGUGAAGAAGGUCUUCGGAUUGUAAAGCACUUUAAGUUGGGAGGAACGGCAGUAAGUGUAAACCUGGCUGUUUUGACGGUACCAAAAGAAUAAGCACCGGCUAACUUCGUG